RNAcentral lists this ribosomal RNA (380 nucleotides) under uncultured Halanaerobium sp. RNAcentral's name for it is "bacterial SSU rRNA". It matches the Rfam family "Bacterial small subunit ribosomal RNA", at positions 509 to 889 of the family's 1533-position model. Lineage: Bacteria; Bacillati; Bacillota; Clostridia; Halanaerobiales; Halanaerobiaceae. The record is from RNAcentral.
CAGCAGCCGCGGUAAUACGUAGAGUGCAAGCGUUGUCCGGAAUUAUUGGGCGUAAAGGGUACGCAGGCGGAUAAUCAAGUCAAGCGUGAAAGGUGUCGGCUUAACCGACAGACUGCGUUUGAAACUGGUUAUCUUGAGUGUAACAGAGGAGAGUGGAAUUCCUAGUGUAGUGGUGAAAUACGUAGAUAUUAGGAAGAACACCAGUGGCGAAGGCGACUCUCUGGGUUAACACUGACGCUGAGGUACGAAAGCUGGGGGAGCGAACGGGAUUAGAUACCCCGGUAGUCCCAGCCGUAAACGAUGGAUACUAGGUGUUGGAGGUUCGAAUCCUUCAGUGCCGGAGUUAACGCAUUAAGUAUCCGCCUGGGGAUUACGAUCGC